RNAcentral lists this ribosomal RNA (496 nucleotides) under uncultured bacterium. RNAcentral's name for it is "partial 16S ribosomal RNA". It matches the Rfam family "Bacterial small subunit ribosomal RNA", at positions 29 to 507 of the family's 1533-position model. The record is from RNAcentral.
AUGAACGCUGGCGGCGUGCCUAAUACAUGCAAGUCGAGCGAACAGACGAGGAGCUUGCUCCUCUGACGUUAGCGGCGGACGGGUGAGUAACACGUGGAUAACCUACCUAUAAGACUGGGAUAACUUCGGGAAACCGGAGCUAAUACCGGAUAAUAUAUUGAACCGCAUGGUUCAAUAGUGAAAGACGGUUUUGCUGUCACUUAUAGAUGGAUCCGCGCCGCAUUAGCUAGUUGGUAAGGUAACGGCUUACCAAGGCAACGAUGCGUAGCCGACCUGAGAGGGUGAUCGGCCACACUGGAACUGAGACACGGUCCAGACGCCUACGGGAGGCAGCAGUAGGGAAUCUUCCGCAAUGGGCGAAAGCCUGACGGAGCAACGCCGCGUGAGUGAUGAAGGUCUUCGGAUCGUAGAACUCUGUUAUUAGGGAGGAACAAAUGUGUAAGUAACUAUGCACGUCUUGACGGUACCUAAUCAGAAAGCCACGGCUAACUACGUG